RNAcentral lists this transfer RNA (81 nucleotides) under SAR202 cluster bacterium Io17-Chloro-G5. RNAcentral describes it as "tRNA-Ser". The record is from RNAcentral. Lineage: Bacteria; Bacillati; Chloroflexota; Dehalococcoidia.
GGACUGCUAUACACGCCUGCGCACAAAAACGCCUGACUCUUAAUCAGUAGGUUCUCGGUUCGACCCCGAGGCGGGCCACCA